CCUACGGGAGGCAGCAGUGAGGAAUAUUGGUCAAUGGGCGCGAGCCUGAACCAGCCAAGUAGCGUGAAGGAUGACUGCCCUACGGGUUGUAAACUUCUUUUAUAAAGGAAUAAAGUGAGGCUCGUGUGCCUUUUUGUAUGUACCUUAUGAAUAAGGAUCGGCUAACUCCGUGCCAGCAGCCGCGGUAAUACGGAGGAUCCGAGCGUUAUCCGGAUUUAUUGGGUUUAAAGGGUGCGUAGGCGGCCUUUUAAGUCAGCGGUGAAAGGCCGGGGCUCAACCAUAGAAUUGCCGUUGAACCUGGCGGUCUUGAGUAUGUGUGAGGCAGGCGGAAUGCGUGGUGUAGCGGUGAAAUGCUUAGAUAUCGCGCAGAACCCCGAUUGCGAAGGCAGCAUGCCAAGCCAUGUCUGACGCUGAGGCACGAAAGCGUGGGGAUCGAACAGGAUUAGAUACCCUUGUAGUC
Molecule: ribosomal RNA, 460 nt
Filed under: uncultured bacterium
Lineage: Bacteria
Description: partial 16S ribosomal RNA
Rfam family: Bacterial small subunit ribosomal RNA
Source: RNAcentral